This is a long non-coding RNA of Conger conger (European conger), 222 nucleotides long. RefSeq lists it as uncharacterized. The record is from RefSeq and is a predicted model, not a curated record. The transcript has 3 exons. Lineage: Eukaryota; Metazoa; Chordata; Actinopteri; Anguilliformes; Congridae.
CUUUAUAAAGCUGGUGCUCCUGAGAGUCUGCACAAAUCCAACCUCGAGAAUUUCACUUUCUUGGAAAUAUUUUAUUAAUUCUGAAGGACCAGCGCGCAAGCAUGCGUUACCUAACCUUACUGAUGUGUUUUUUCAUGCUAACUGGACUGUGUUCAACACUUCCUGUGACUGACAGUGACCUGGGUGGGCUUGAGAGAAGAGAGCGUUCAGCCAGCUUCGAGG